RNAcentral lists this unclassified non-coding RNA (267 nucleotides) under plant metagenome. RNAcentral describes it as "partial contains small subunit ribosomal RNA and internal transcribed spacer 1". The stretch from base 1 to 46 matches the Rfam family "Eukaryotic small subunit ribosomal RNA", at positions 1786 to 1831 of the family's 1831-position model. The record is from RNAcentral.
AAGUCGUAACAAGGUUUCCGUAGGUGAACCUGCGGAAGGAUCAUUACAAAUAAACUGGUAGGAAGGUGGGGUCCUUGAUCCUGUAAGUGGUAGAGCGAACAGUCCGGCUGCCCCCGCAAUGGAUGUUACUUACGUCCCGUCCACAGCCUGAAGGCCGAAUUACAACCCUUGAUUAUCUACACUUGUUGCUUUGGGGUGCUCAAGUGCCCCAGAGGACCCAACUCUCUUGCAAUUUAGUGACGUCUGAGUACUAUAUAAUAUUUAAAA